UGUGAGCGGUUAGAUGAUGCUCGUCCUAGCUA
RNAcentral lists this non-coding RNA (32 nucleotides) under Mus musculus (house mouse). Lineage: Eukaryota; Metazoa; Chordata; Mammalia; Rodentia; Muridae. The record is from RNAcentral.